CAGUCGCCACGGGAAUACGUAGGUGGCAAGCGUUGUCCGGAGUUAUUGGGCGUAAAGGGCUCGCAGGCGGUUUCUUAAGUCUGAUGUGAAAGCCCCCGGCUCAACCGGGGAGGGUCAUUAGAAACUGGGAAACUUGAGUGCAGAAGAGGAGAGUGGAAUUCCACGUGUAGCGGUGAAAUGCGUAGAGAUGUGGAGGAACACCAGUGGCGAAGGCGACUCUCUGGUCUGUAACUGACGCUGAGGAGCGAAAGCGUGGGGAGCGAACAGGAUUAGAUACCCCCGUAGUCCCUGUCUCUUAUAC
This 301-nucleotide ribosomal RNA is filed under the name uncultured bacterium. Its description in RNAcentral is "partial 16S ribosomal RNA". It matches the Rfam family "Bacterial small subunit ribosomal RNA", at positions 509 to 807 of the family's 1533-position model. The record is from RNAcentral.